This 270-nucleotide ribosomal RNA is filed under the name uncultured bacterium. RNAcentral's name for it is "partial 16S ribosomal RNA". It matches the Rfam family "Bacterial small subunit ribosomal RNA", at positions 29 to 296 of the family's 1533-position model. The record is from RNAcentral.
AGCGAACGCUGGCGGCGUGCUUAACACAUGCAAGUCGAGUGCGCGCCUGUAGCAAUACAGGUGGCGCACGGCGCACGGGUGCGUAACACGUGGGUAAUCUGCCCUUCGAAGGGGAAUAACUCGCCGAAAGGCGAGCUAAUUCCGCAUAACAUUCCUUGGACUUUGGUUUGAGGAUUCAAAGGCGUAAGUCGUCGGAGGAGGAGCCCGCGCACGAUUAGCUAGUUGGUGGGGUAAUGGCCCACCAAGGCUAUGAUCGUUAGCUGGUCUGAG